CAGGGGAACAGGCAGAGCAUG
RNAcentral lists this microRNA (21 nucleotides) under Glycine max (soybean). RNAcentral describes it as "gma-miR408c-5p". Its record names the gene gma-miR408a-5p. The record is from miRBase by way of RNAcentral. Lineage: Eukaryota; Viridiplantae; Streptophyta; Magnoliopsida; Fabales; Fabaceae.